Molecule: small nuclear RNA, 156 nt
Organism: Phodopus roborovskii (desert hamster)
Lineage: Eukaryota; Metazoa; Chordata; Mammalia; Rodentia; Cricetidae
Product: U1 spliceosomal RNA
Exons: 1
Source: RefSeq, a predicted model, not a curated record
AUGCUUAACUGGAAGGAGAGAAACAAUGAACUUGAAGAUGGUUUUCCCAGGUUGGCCAUUGCACUUCAGAUGUGCUGACCCCAGCAAUUUCCACAAAUGUGGAAACUCGACCUCAUAAUUUGUGGUAGUGGAGUUCUGCGUUCGCGCUCUCUGCUC